CCUACGGGAGGCAGCAGUGAGGCAUAUUGGUCAGUGGCCGGAAGGCUUAACCAGCCAAGUCGCGUGAGGGACGACUGCCCUAUGGGUUGUAAACCUCUUUUAUAAGGGAAGAAUAAAUGCUACGUGUAGCAUGAUGCCUGUACCUUAUGAAUAAGCAUCGGCUAACUCCGUGCCAGCAGCCGCGGUAAUACGGAGGAUGCGAGCGUUAUCCUGAUUUAUUGGGUUUAAAGGGUACGUAGGCGGUUUGUUAAGUUAGUGGUUAAACGUCGGGGCUUCACCUUGAUUUGCCAGUAAUACUGUAAGACUCGAGUUCAGACGAGGUAGGCGGAAUAAGUUAAGUAGCGGUGAAAUGCUUAGAUAUAACUUAGAACUCCGAUAGCGAAGGCAGCUUACCAGACUGCGACUGACGCUGAAGCACGAGAGCGUGGGUAGCGAACAGGAUUAGAUACCCUGGUAGUC
RNAcentral lists this ribosomal RNA (459 nucleotides) under uncultured bacterium. RNAcentral's name for it is "partial 16S ribosomal RNA". It matches the Rfam family "Bacterial small subunit ribosomal RNA", at positions 338 to 795 of the family's 1533-position model. The record is from RNAcentral.